UACGUAGGGUGCAAGCGUUAAUCGGAAUUACUGGGCGUAAAGCGUGCGCAGGCGGUUCGUUAAGUUCGUCGUGAAAGCCCCGGGCUCAACCUGGGAAUGGCGAUGGAAACUGGCGGGCUGGAGUGCGGCAGAGGGGGGUGGAAUUCCACGUGUAGCAGUGAAAUGCGUAGAGAUGCGGAGGAACACCGAUGGCGAAGGCAGCCCCCUGGGUUGACACUGACGCUCAGGCACGAAAGCGUGGGGAGCAAACAGG
RNAcentral lists this ribosomal RNA (253 nucleotides) under uncultured bacterium. RNAcentral's name for it is "partial 16S ribosomal RNA". It matches the Rfam family "Bacterial small subunit ribosomal RNA", at positions 524 to 776 of the family's 1533-position model. The record is from RNAcentral.